AGAGUUUGAUCCUGGCUCAGAUUGAACGCUGGCGGCAUGCCUUACACAUGCAAGUCGAACGGCAGCACGGGAGCAAUCCUGGUGGCGAGUGGCGAACGGGUGAGUAAUACAUCGGAACGUGCCCAAUCGUGGGGGAUAACGCAGCGAAAGCUGUGCUAAUACCGCAUACGAUCUACGGAUGAAAGCAGGGGAUCGCAAGACCUUGCGCGAAUGGAGCGGCCGAUGGCAGAUUAGGUAGUUGGUGAGGUAAAGGCUCACCAAGCCUUCGAUCUGUAGCUGGUCUGAGAGGACGACCAGCCACACUGGGACUGAGACACGGCCCAGACUCCUACGGGAGGCAGCAGUGGGGAAUUUUGGACAAUGGGCGAAAGCCUGAUCCAGCCAUGCCGCGUGCAGGAUGAAGGCCUUCGGGUUGUAAACUGCUUUUGUACGGAACGAAACGGCCUUUUCUAAUAAAGAGGGCUAAUGACGGUACCGUAAGAAUAAGCACCGGCUAACUACGUGCCAGCAGCCGCGGUAAUACGUAGGGUGCAAGCGUUAAUCGGAAUUACUGGGCGUAAAGCGUGCGCAGGCGGUUAUGUAAGACAGUUGUGAAAUCCCCGGGCUCAACCUGGGAACUGCAUCUGUGACUGCAUAGCUAGAGUACGGUAGAGGGGGAUGGAAUUCCGCGUGUAGCAGUGAAAUGCGUAGAUAUGCCG
Molecule: ribosomal RNA, 698 nt
Filed under: uncultured bacterium
Lineage: Bacteria
Description: bacterial SSU rRNA
Rfam family: Bacterial small subunit ribosomal RNA
Source: RNAcentral